RNAcentral lists this ribosomal RNA (762 nucleotides) under uncultured Burkholderia sp. Its description in RNAcentral is "bacterial SSU rRNA". It matches the Rfam family "Bacterial small subunit ribosomal RNA", at positions 94 to 853 of the family's 1533-position model. Lineage: Bacteria; Pseudomonadati; Pseudomonadota; Betaproteobacteria; Burkholderiales; Burkholderiaceae. The record is from RNAcentral.
AGUGGCGAACGGGUGAGUAAUACAUCGGAACAUGUCCUGUAGUGAGGGAUAGCCCGGCGAAAGCCGGAUUAAUACCGCAUACGAUCUGAGGAUGAAAGCGGGGGACCUUCGGGCCUCGCGCUAUAGGGUUGGCCGAUGGCUGAUUAGCUAGUUGGUGGGGUAAAGGCCUACCAAGGCGACGAUCAGUAGCUGGUCUGAGAGGACGACCAGCCACACUGGGACUGAGACACGGCCCAGACUCCUACGGGAGGCAGCAGUGGGGAAUUUUGGACAAUGGGCGAAAGCCUGAUCCAGCAAUGCCGCGUGUGUGAAGAAGGCCUUCGGGUUGUAAAGCACUUUUGUCCGGAAAGAAAUCCUUGGUUCUAAUAUAGCCGGGGGAUGACGGUACCGGAAGAAUAAGCACCGGCUAACUACGUGCCAGCAGCCGCGGUAAUACGUAGGGUGCAAGCGUUAAUCGGAAUUACUGGGCGUAAAGCGUGCGCAGGCGGUUUGCUAAGACCGACGUGAAAUCCCCGGGCUCAACCUGGGAACUGCAUUGGUGACUGGCAGGCUAGAGUAUGGCAGAGGGGGGUAGAAUUCCACGUGUAGCAGUGAAAUGCGUAGAGAUGUGGAGGAAUACCGAUGGCGAANGCAGCCCCCUGGGCCAAUACUGACGCUCAUGCACGAAAGCAUGGGGAGCAAACAGGAUUAGAUACCCUGGUAGUCCACGCCCUANACNAUGUCNACUAGUUGUUGGGGAUUCAUUUCCUUAGUNACGUCGCU